UCUAUUUUUAUUAUUCUUGCUCCAGGACAAUCUGGAACCUUCCAUCCUAGGACUUUUAUGCCAGGCAUCAGGACGAAGAAAGAGUACCUGAGAAGCAGAUCCCUGGUGGCCCUAGAUGGAUUUAAUAGAAAUACUCUUCUCCAUUUAGUAGCCAGGACUGUCAUGAUUACCAAACAGUUCACAAGACUGGUAAGUACAGCCUGCUUUUCUAUGUGUAAGUAUUUGCAUUUCAAAGGAAUCCACAGUUUCAAAAUUCCCUUCUAAAAACAUUCGUUUCAGUGGGGGAAAUGGAAUUAAGUCUGAAACAGUUGAGACUUGCAAUAGCAAAUUUAUGUUUGCUGUGGGAAUUUCAAUAAUAAAGGUUUUAUUGGAGCUUUAAGUGUAUAGGUAUAAAAUAGGCUUCCUGAUGACAAAUUCAGGGUUUGAUUACAUGGAACAUUUGUUCAGGAGCAGCAGAUUUUUUUUUUUUCCUUUAUCACCAACAGCUAAAGCUGAAGCUCCAGUACUUUGGCCACCUCAUGCGAAGAGUUGACUCAUUGGAAAAGACUCUGAUGCUGGAAGGGAUUGGGGACAGGAGGAGAAGGGGAUGACAGAGGAUGAGAUGGCUGGAUGGCAUCACGGACUUGAUGGAUGUGAGUUUGAGUGAACUCCGGGAGAUGGUGAUGGACAGGGAGACAGGGCGUGCUGCAAUUCAUGGGGUUGCAAAGAGUCAGACACGACUGAGCGACUGAACUGAAUGGCUUUUCUUUUCCUUAUCACCAACAUCUCUAUCAUUAGAACAAACCUUACACAGUCUUAUCAAUUUUUAUCACUUUUAUCAGCCACUGGUAGGAUAAACAGUAUUUAAAGGCAUCCCAACCAAGUUGGU
This 868-nucleotide long non-coding RNA is filed under the name Ovis aries (sheep). RNAcentral's name for it is "lncRNA (ENSOARG00000025409.1)". The record is from RNAcentral. Lineage: Eukaryota; Metazoa; Chordata; Mammalia; Artiodactyla; Bovidae.